UACGUAGGUGGCAAGCGUUGUCCGGAUUUACUGGGUGUAAAGGGCGUGUAGCCGGGUUGACAAGUCAGAUGUGAAAUCCUGCGGCUUAACCGCAGAACUGCAUUUGAAACUGUUGAUCUUGAGUACUGGAGAGGCAGACGGAAUUCCUAGUGUAGCGGUGAAAUGCGUAGAUAUUAGGAGGAACACCAGUGGCGAAGGCGGCCUGCUGGACCGCGACUGACGUUGAGGCUCGAAAGCGUGGGGAGCAAACAGG
Molecule: ribosomal RNA, 253 nt
Filed under: uncultured bacterium
Lineage: Bacteria
Description: partial 16S ribosomal RNA
Rfam family: Bacterial small subunit ribosomal RNA
Source: RNAcentral